RNAcentral lists this ribosomal RNA (1378 nucleotides) under Bacillus subtilis. RNAcentral's name for it is "bacterial SSU rRNA". It matches the Rfam family "Bacterial small subunit ribosomal RNA". Lineage: Bacteria; Bacillati; Bacillota; Bacilli; Caryophanales; Bacillaceae. The record is from RNAcentral.
AGGGGGGGCUGCCUAAUACAUGCAGUCGAGCGGACAGAUGGGAGCUUGCUCCCUGAUGUUAGCGGCGGACGGGUGAGUAACACGUGGGUAACCUGGUUUGAACCGCAUGGUUCAAACAUAAAAGGUGGCUUCGGCUACCACUUACAGAUGGACCCGCGGCGCAUUAGCUAGUUGGUGAGGUAACGGCUCACCAAGGCAACGAUGCGUAGCCGACCUGAGAGGGUGAUCGGCCACACUGGGACUGAGACACGGCCCAGACUCCUACGGGAGGCAGCAGUAGGGAAUCUUCCGCAAUGGACGAAAGUCUGACGGAGCAACGCCGCGUGAGUGAUGAAGGUUUUCGGAUCGUAAAGCUCUGUUGUUAGGGAAGAACAAGUACCGUUCGAAUAGGGCGGUACCUUGACGGUACCUAACCAGAAAGCCACGGCUAACUACGUGCCAGCAGCCGCGGUAAUACGUAGGUGGCAAGCGUUGUCCGGAAUUAUUGGGCGUAAAGGGCUCGCAGGCGGUUUCUUAAGUCUGAUGUGAAAGCCCCCGGCUCAACCGGGGAGGGUCAUUGGAAACUGGGGAACUUGAGUGCAGAAGAGGAGAGUGGAAUUCCACGUGUAGCGGUGAAAUGCGUAGAGAUGUGGAGGAACACCAGUGGCGAAGGCGACUCUCUGGUCUGUAACUGACGCUGAGGAGCGAAAGCGUGGGGAGCGAACAGGAUUAGAUACCCUGGUAGUCCACGCCGUAAACGAUGAGUGCUAAGUGUUAGGGGGUUUCCGCCCCUUAGUGCUGCAGCUAACGCAUUAAGCACUCCGCCUGGGGAGUACGGUCGCAAGACUGAAACUCAAAGGAAUUGACGGGGGCCCGCACAAGCGGUGGAGCAUGUGGUUUAAUUCGAAGCAACGCGAAGAACCUUACCAGGUCUUGACAUCCUCUGACAAUCCUAGAGAUAGGACGUCCCCUUCGGGGGCAGAGUGACAGGUGGUGCAUGGUUGUCGUCAGCUCGUGUCGUGAGAUGUUGGGUUAAGUCCCGCAACGAGCGCAACCCUUGAUCUUAGUUGCCAGCAUUCAGUUGGGCACUCUAAGGUGACUGCCGGUGACAAACCGGAGGAAGGUGGGGAUGACGUCAAAUCAUCAUGCCCCUUAUGACCUGGGCUACACACGUGCUACAAUGGACAGAACAAAGGGCAGCGAAACCGCGAGGUUAAGCCAAUCCCACAAAUCUGUUCUCAGUUCGAUCGCAGUCUGCAACUCGACUGCGUGAAGCUGGAAUCGCUAGUAAUCGCGGAUCAGCAUGCCGCGGUGAAUCGUUCCCGGGCCUUGUACACACCGCCCGUCACACCACGAGAGUUUGUAACACCCGAAGUCGGUGAGGUAACCUUUUAGGAGC